UAAGGAAUAUUGGUCAAUGGACGCAAGUCUGAACCAGCCAUGCCGCGUGAAGGAUGAAGGCCCUCUGGGUUGUAAACUUCUUUUAUCUGGGACGAAAAAAGGGUUUUUGAACUCACUUGACGGUACCAGAGGAAUAAGCACCGGCUAACUCCGUGCCAGCAGCCGCGGUAAUACGGAGGGUGCAAGCGUUAUCCGGAUUUACUGGGUUUAAAGGGUGCGUAGGUGGGUAAGUAAGUCAGUGGUGAAAUCUCCGGGCUUAACCCGGAAACUGCCAUUGAUACUAUUUAUCUUGAAUACUUUGGAGGUAAGCGGAAUAUGUCAUGUAGCGGUGAAAUGCUUAGAUAUGACAUAGAACACCAAUUGCGAAGGCAGCUUACUACACAGUGAUUGACACUGAGGCACGAAAGCGUGGGGAUCAAACAG
This 423-nucleotide ribosomal RNA is filed under the name uncultured bacterium. RNAcentral's name for it is "bacterial SSU rRNA". It matches the Rfam family "Bacterial small subunit ribosomal RNA", at positions 355 to 775 of the family's 1533-position model. The record is from RNAcentral.